Molecule: ribosomal RNA, 468 nt
Filed under: uncultured bacterium
Lineage: Bacteria
Description: partial 16S ribosomal RNA
Rfam family: Bacterial small subunit ribosomal RNA
Source: RNAcentral
GACGAACGCUGGCGGCGUGCUUAACACAUGCAAGUCGAACGGACAGGCCCUGCUUUUGUUGGGUGCUCGAGUGGCGCACGGGUGAGUAACACGUGAGUAACCUGCCCUUGACUUUGGGAUAACUUCUGGAAAAUGGGGCUCAUAUCGGGUAGGAGCUCCUGCUGCAUGGUGGGGGUUGGAAAGAUUCGGCGGUUGGGGAUGGACUCGCGGCUUAUCCGCUUGUUGGUGGGGUAGUGGCUUACCAAGGCUUUGACGGGUAGGCGGCCUGGGAGGGUGGCCGGCCACAAUGGGACUAAGGGACGGCCCAGACGCCUACGUGAGGCAGCAGGGGGGAAUAUUGCACAAUGGGCGGGAGCCAGAUGCAGCAACGCCGCGAGCGUGAUGACGGCCUUCGAGUGGUAAACCGCUUUCGCCUGUGACGAAGCGUGAGUGACGGUAAUGAGUAAAGAAGCAACGGCUAACUACGUG